Molecule: ribosomal RNA, 700 nt
Filed under: uncultured Leptolyngbya sp.
Lineage: Bacteria; Bacillati; Cyanobacteriota; Cyanophyceae; Leptolyngbyales; Leptolyngbyaceae
Description: bacterial SSU rRNA
Rfam family: Bacterial small subunit ribosomal RNA
Source: RNAcentral
AGUGGCGGACGGGUGAGUAACGCGUGAGAAUCUGGCUUCAGGAGGGGGACAACAGUUGGAAACGACUGCUAAUACCCCAUAUGUCUACGGAUGAAACGGUGAAUUCCGCCUGAAGAUGAGCUCGCGUCGGAUUAGCUAGUUGGUGAGGUAGAGGCUCACCAAGGCGACGAUCCGUAGCUGGUCUGAGAGGAUGAUCAGCCACACUGGGACUGAGACACGGCCCAGACUCCUACGGGAGGCAGCAGUGGGGAAUUUUCCGCAAUGGGCGAAAGCCUGACGGAGCAACGCCGCGUGCGGGAAGACGGCCUGUGGGUUGUAAACCGCUUUUCUCUGGGAAGAAUAAGUUGACGGUACCAGAGGAAUCAGCAUCGGCUAACUCCGUGCCAGCAGCCGCGGUAAUACGGAGGAUGCAAGCGUUAUCCGGAAUUAUUGGGCGUAAAGCGCCCGCAGGCGGCUUAUCAAGUCUGCUGUUAAAGGUCGGGGCUCAACUCCGGUUAGGCAGUGGAAACUGAUAGGCUAGAGUGUGGUAGGGGUAGAGGGAAUUCCCAGUGUAGCGGUGAAAUGCAUAGAUAUUGGGAAGAACACCAGUGGCGAAGGCGCUCUACUGGGCCACAACUGACGCUGAGGGACGAAAGCUAGGGGAGCGAAAGGGAUUAGAUACCCCUGUAGUCCUAGCUGUAAACGAUGGACACUAGGUGUU